AUGCUCGCUUCAGCAGCAUGUAUACUAAAAUUAGAAUUAUAGAAGAUUAACAUGGUCCUUGCACAAGGAUGACAAACACGUAGAUUUGUGAAGUACUCCAUGUUU
This 105-nucleotide small nuclear RNA is filed under the name Procavia capensis (Cape rock hyrax). The record is from RNAcentral. Lineage: Eukaryota; Metazoa; Chordata; Mammalia; Hyracoidea; Procaviidae.